Suricata suricatta (meerkat) is the source of this 3235-nucleotide long non-coding RNA. RefSeq lists it as uncharacterized. The record is from RefSeq and is a predicted model, not a curated record. Lineage: Eukaryota; Metazoa; Chordata; Mammalia; Carnivora; Herpestidae. The transcript has 2 exons.
UUUUUCUCCUUUUAUAGCAGAAGCUUUUAGGCUAAGAAGUCCGUUACUGCUGAGUUCUCUCUCCAUUCCCCCAGGUGGGUGAGGUCAACUGAGCCUGGGCCCCCCCCAAUGCCCAGCUGACCUGCACAGAGCUGCCAACUGACCACACUGCAACACUUACCCUCUGUACGUCCUCUGUCUCUGUCCCUCUCUGCUUCACCCCCUGGCUGUUUCUCUCUGUGUCCAGCCAUAUGUCUCUAUCUUGGACCCAAGUGAUCCAGAGAUGGGUUAGUCAAGCCUUCUCCACUGCCAAGCACCUGCAGACUCCUGCCUGGGAGUUGUAUUUGCAUGAAUGCAGCUGUGGAAAAGAAAAGAAUAAAGCCAAAAAGGGAGCGUGUAGGGAGGAGGGAAGUGCACCUUCUAGAACUAAGUGCUCCCCUUGUAGGUGGAACCACGUUUUUUUUGCAGUUUCCAUUUCUGGGGAGAAAAGGGAAUGACCAGAUUUUUUGCACUGGGAUCUUGACACAGGAAGUAGCCAAUACCUGAGAGGCACGGUUGAGGGUUGGGUCUGGUGUGUGUCAGUGAGGAGAGAAGAGCCCAGGGCUCACAGCUGGAGUCAGCCCCGGGGCACCUUGGUAUGUACCCUUCACACAGGACCCACCAUAAAGCCCGUUGGAACUCUGCCAAGAGGCCCCAUAUGCAGUUUCCUGAAGAAAGAAGGGCAAGCUUCUGACAUAACUUCAACUGAGACAACUCCCAACUCAAGAUUGAGCCUGUGUGCUUCGUGAAGGAUGCUCCAAAGUGUGGAAGCAAUUUCAUCUAUAAAUCCCACAUUAAGCCAGUUCCUAAAAGACUUCAGACUAUCCCCUUCAUCUCUAUCCCCCCAUGGAGCCUUAGCCAGUGAUAAGAGACCCAACACACCGCUGGUCCAAGAGAUAACCCAGGAAAAUGACUCGUCCGUCUACACAACACAAGACGGCAAGACUACACUGCUAGAAGACUUUUGUGAGUAAACAAAAAGGCCUAAGCUGGCUGGAUUGGUCCAGUGAAUCUAACUCACUGGCCAGUGACUGGAGAACUGGGAUGUCAGGGUCAGGAGGUAAUGGUUUGGUGGGGCAAUGACUCCCGAGCUCCAUGAACCACUUCAGCAUAAUAGAUGAUUCCCAAAACCGCUUGCCCUAUUCAACCCCACACAGCAUUAGAGAGGAUUAAAAAUAAUAAUGAUAGUAAUGGGCUAUGUUCAUAUGAAUGGAAACUUAGAAAACAUAGUAUUAGCAAUGUAUUAGAAGUAGAAGGCAUUGAAAAAUAUCUAAUUGAUUUUCCAGUAUAGAAAGUUGAGGCCCAGAGAAAUGAAGUGACUUGCGCAAGGUCAUGCGAUCAUUUAAGGUCCUAGCUUGGACCAGAACACAAAUCCCUUGGCUAUUAGUCUAAUGCUUUUUCGACUACAUUUGCUGCCUCUAGGAGCAGUGAUACUUUGGAAAAGACCCGUCAAAGAGCACAUGCUGUAAUUAGAGACACAGUCUUACGUAAAUGUCAAUACUACGUGGACACGGCCUUGGAAACCAUUUGUGCUGAUACAAACCAUCCUUUUGAAAUCACCAUUCUCUGGGUAGAAACAGCUAUGGACUAUCAAUUCUGUCUGAGAACAAACAACAAAAUGGUGAACAGUUUUCCUUCAGCCAAAUGUUACUUCUUCUCAAUGAAGAGAGCUGAAACGUUUCAAAGCAUACCUUCUAGAGUCUUUUUGAUCCUUACUACAGUCUCUGAUGAGUAGUAGGUCAGGUAACUAAGUCCUUGGUUCACAGAGAGGGAAAAUAGGGGGAAAGAAGCUGAGUGACUUCUCCAAGUUCUCAUGGCAAGUUAGUGGCAAGACUGUGAUUGCAAUCCAGGGCUGAGACAUCUCGUCCUGAGAUUUUUCUUCCUCUGGGGCUUGCUUCUGUUUUUAAUACUUGGAUUUCAACGGUGGUGAUUAGGGGGAGGACGCAUUCCAUUCAGGACCACCGGGAUCCAGGACCUCCAGAGGCGAACUCUGUGCAUUUCGCCUUCAACCGCUACUCUUUUAAUGUGUCAAAUUCAGGACUGACUUCCGACUGAAAGACCGGAUAUUCUCAGUGACAGUUGAACAUAGUCUACAAUCACACAGGAGUUUCAGGCCAGCAAGUAGAAAAGCAAAACUAAGAGGAACAAAGAAUUUGAACAGAAAUUAAAGUGGACAGUUAAUGCUGAUCUUGUGAAUGUGCUUGAGGACUUUUACCUAGUUUUCAAAAUACCAUUCCUGCAGUUCAGGACUGUGUUACUUCUUGGUCAGAACAUAGGCAGAAGUGUACUUGAAAUGUGUACGUAGAUUUUUUUUCCUUGACUUUUUAACUUUGCACAGGUAGUGGUUGUAGUUGAGCUAAAUCUAGACUCUACGAUUAUCAACGAAGUCCAGCGGUCCAGGCUCCCUUACUUUAAUCAUCAGGUAACUACAGGCAGAAAGAUCCCAAUGCUGUUAAUCUAAGGCAAUAGUAGUUUCCCUUCUAAACUAGUUGGCGUGGUAACCAUAACAGGAAACUGGAAGACUUUUCUUUUUGAUUUCCUUAAGAAAUCUCAUUUGCAAAGCUUUAAACUGACUGGAUGAAGGAAAACCAUUUUUAUGACCCAUGACCCUUGGAGCCCAAACAGCAUCAUGAAGAGAAAGUGGCUUUCAGAAAAAGAAACAGCUUUAAAGGGGUUCCUUUUGAGUCUUGUUUUCUAUUCAGAAUGUUCUAUGUUUUUCUCAUCAAGUGUGGGAAUGACAUUUAUCUUAGCAGGUUACUUAACUACACUGGAUGAUGUCACUCGAAACCAGUGUAGGGCACUGACCCAAACCCUGGGGGGCUCCUUGGACCAAUAGACUAUUUUACAAACCUGGGAGGUGGGAGGGAUGGUAUAUUUUUGAUAAUCAGACAUUCCAAUGUAAUGUUUUCCUUAGAGGUCAUCCCCCCAUUAAUGUUAUCGUGAAAAACAUCAAGUGUGUUCUUUUCUAUUUUCAUAUAAUAAAUGAGCUUUGCUUACCAACAUCACAAUGGCAAAGAAAUACUGUACAAAACUGCAGGAAGAUAAAACAUGUGAAAACUUUGUAUGGAAAAAAAACUCUUGAGUUUCCUGUCGUCUUCUUUUGAAACUGUAGUGCAUAUGUUAAAACGUAUUAUCAUUUACAGUAUUGAGUCAUGUGCCACUGCUGUACCUGAUGUAUCCAAUCCGGAUUAAACAAACUAUGUGCCACAAACCCUAA